RNAcentral lists this unclassified non-coding RNA (355 nucleotides) under soil metagenome. RNAcentral's name for it is "partial contains 5.8S ribosomal RNA, internal transcribed spacer 2, and large subunit ribosomal RNA". The stretch from base 1 to 120 matches the Rfam family "5.8S ribosomal RNA", at positions 35 to 154 of the family's 154-position model. The record is from RNAcentral.
GAUGAAGAACGUAGCGAAAUGCGAUAAGUAAUGCGAAUUGCAGAAUCCGUGAGUCAUCGAAUCUUUGAACGCACAUUGCGCCCCUUGGUUAUUCCGAAGGGCAUGCCUGUUCGAGCGUCAUUAUCACCCCUCAAGCCCUGGCUUGGUGUUGGACUUUAGUUAUGGCUUUGCCUAUCAACUGGUCUCAAAGAUAGUGACGGCGCCCCAGAGGGAACCGGGUAUGAGGAGCUUUUUACUAAGCAUGUAUCUGGGACGACUCUGAUGGGCGACGGUCUUGUUAUACUUUUUACCUAAGUGUUGACCUCGGAUCAGGUAGGAAUACCCGCUGAACUUAAGCAUAUCAAUAAGCGGAGGA